RNAcentral lists this ribosomal RNA (669 nucleotides) under Triticum aestivum (bread wheat). Its description in RNAcentral is "partial small subunit ribosomal RNA". The record is from RNAcentral. Lineage: Eukaryota; Viridiplantae; Streptophyta; Magnoliopsida; Poales; Poaceae.
AUGGCACCUGCCACUGAAGUACAACAGUUUUUGCACAGAAACAAGGAAGUAUUUCAAGAACCUACUAGUCUGCCUCCACACAGAGUGUUGGACCACAAUAUCAACUUACUACCAAAUAUUGUGCCUGUAAAUUGCAGGCCCUACAGAUACUUUCCCUUACAGAAGGAUGAUAUUGAGAGACAAGUGAAAGAAAUGUUGGACAGUGGUAUGAUCACACCCAGUAUGAGCCCUUUUGCUGCUCUUGUGCUGUUAGUCAAAAAAAAGGACGUCACUUGGAGGUUUUGUGUGGACUACAGGAGACUGAAUGAUGUGACAGUAAAAAACAAGUUUCCUAUGCCGGUAAUUGGUGAAAUUCUGGAUGAGUUAGGAGGUGCUAAGUAGUUUUCUAAACUAGACCCGAGAGUUGGGUAUCAUCAAAUCAGGAUGAAAGAGGAGGAUGAAUUUAAAACUGCUUUUAAAACACACCAUGGGUAGUUCCAGUUUAGAGUUGUGCCAUUUGGUCUAGCUACAGCUCCUAGCACUUUUCAGUGUGUCAUGAAUUUCAUAUUUGCUGGGGAAAAUAGAAAAUUUGUCCUGGUAUUCUUGGAUGACAUUUUAGGGUUUAGUUUUACACUGGAAGAACGCUUAGAACAUCUUCAGCCAGUAUUUGAUAUACUCAAGGAACAAUAG